GGUUAAGCGACUAAGCGUACACGGUGGAUGCCCUGGCAGUCAGAGGCGAUGAAGGACGUGCUAAUCUGCGAUAAGCGUCGGUAAGGUGAUAUGAACCGUUAUAACCGGCGAUUUCCGAAUGGGGAAACCCAGUGUGUUUCGACACACUAUCAUUAACUGAAUCCAUAGGUUAAUGAGGCGAACCGGGGGAACUGAAACAUCUAAGUACCCCGAGGAAAAGAAAUCAACCGAGAUUCCCCCAGUAGCGGCGAGCGAACGGGGAGCAGCCCAGAGCCUGAAUCAGUGUGUGUGUUAGUGGAAGCGUCUGGAAAGGCGCGCGAUACAGGGUGACAGCCCCGUACACAAAAAUGCACAUGCUGUGAGCUCGAUGAGUAGGGCGGGACACGUGGUAUCCUGUCUGAAUAUGGGGGGACCAUCCUCCAAGGCUAAAUACUCCUGACUGACCGAUAGUGAACCAGUACCGUGAGGGAAAGGCGAAAAGAACCCCGGCGAGGGGAGUGAAAAAGAACCUGAAACCGUGUACGUACAAGCAGUGGGAGCCUCUUUUAUGGGGUGACUGCGUACCUUUUGUAUAAUGGGUCAGCGACUUAUAUUCUGUAGCAAGGUUAACCGAAUAGGGGAGCCGAAGGGAAACCGAGUCUUAACUGGGCGUUAAGUUGCAGGGUAUAGACCCGAAACCCGGUGAUCUAGCCAUGGGCAGGUUGAAGGUUGGGUAACACUAACUGGAGGACCGAACCGACUAAUGUUGAAAAAUUAGCGGAUGACUUGUGGCUGGGGGUGAAAGGCCAAUCAAACCGGGAGAUAGCUGGUUCUCCCCGAAAGCUAUUUAGGUAGCGCCUCGUGAAUUCAUCUCCGGGGGUAGAGCACUGUUUCGGCAAGGGGGUCAUCCCGACUUACCAACCCGAUGCAAACUGCGAAUACCGGAGAAUGUUAUCACGGGAGACACACGGCGGGUGCUAACGUCCGUCGUGAAGAGGGAAACAACCCAGACCGCCAGCUAAGGUCCCAAAGUCAUGGUUAAGUGGGAAACGAUGUGGGAAGGCCCAGACAGCCAGGAUGUUGGCUUAGAAGCAGCCAUCAUUUAAAGAAAGCGUAAUAGCUCACUGGUCGAGUCGGCCUGCGCGGAAGAUGUAACGGGGCUAAACCAUGCACCGAAGCUGCGGCAGCGACGCUGAUGCGUUGUUGGGUAGGGGAGCGUUCUGUAAGCCUGCGAAGGUGUGCUGUGAGGCAUGCUGGAGGUAUCAGAAGUGCGAAUGCUGACAUAAGUAACGAUAAAGCGGGUGAAAAGCCCGCUCGCCGGAAGACCAAGGGUUCCUGUCCAACGUUAAUCGGGGCAGGGUGAGUCGACCCCUAAGGCGAGGCCGAAAGGCGUAGUCGAUGGGAAACAGGUUAAUAUUCCUGUACUUGGUGUUACUGCGAAGGGGGGACGGAGAAGGCUAUGUUGGCCGGGCGACGGUUGUCCCGGUUUAAGCGUGUAGGCUGGUUUUCCAGGCAAAUCCGGAAAAUCAAGGCUGAGGCGUGAUGACGAGGCACUACGGUGCUGAAGCAACAAAUGCCCUGCUUCCAGGAAAAGCCUCUAAGCAUCAGGUAACAUCAAAUCGUACCCCAAACCGACACAGGUGGUCAGGUAGAGAAUACCAAGGCGCUUGAGAGAACUCGGGUGAAGGAACUAGGCAAAAUGGUGCCGUAACUUCGGGAGAAGGCACGCUGAUAUGUAGGUGAAGUCCCUCGCGGAUGGAGCUGAAAUCAGUCGAAGAUACCAGCUGGCUGCAACUGUUUAUUAAAAACACAGCACUGUGCAAACACGAAAGUGGACGUAUACGGUGUGACGCCUGCCCGGUGCCGGAAGGUUAAUUGAUGGGGUCAGCGCAAGCGAAGCUCUUGAUCGAAGCCCCGGUAAACGGCGGCCGUAACUAUAACGGUCCUAAGGUAGCGAAAUUCCUUGUCGGGUAAGUUCCGACCUGCACGAAUGGCGUAAUGAUGGCCAGGCUGUCUCCACCCGAGACUCAGUGAAAUUGAACUCGCUGUGAAGAUGCAGUGUACCCGCGGCAAGACGGAAAGACCCCGUGAACCUUUACUAUAGCUUGACACUGAACAUUGAGCCUUGAUGUGUAGGAUAGGUGGGAGGCUUGGAAGUGUGGACGCCAGUCUGCAUGGAGCCGACCUUGAAAUACCACCCUUUAAUGUUUGAUGUUCUAACGUGGACCCGUGAUCCGGGUUGCGGACAGUGUCUGGUGGGUAGUUUGACUGGGGCGGUCUCCUCCUAAAGAGUAACGGAGGAGCACGAAGGUUGGCUAAUCCUGGUCGGACAUCAGGAGGUUAGUGCAAUGGCAUAAGCCAGCUUGACUGCGAGCGUGACGGCGCGAGCAGGUGCGAAAGCAGGUCAUAGUGAUCCGGUGGUUCUGAAUGGAAGGGCCAUCGCUCAACGGAUAAAAGGUACUCCGGGGAUAACAGGCUGAUACCGCCCAAGAGUUCAUAUCGACGGCGGUGUUUGGCACCUCGAUGUCGGCUCAUCACAUCCUGGGGCUGAAGUAGGUCCCAAGGGUAUGGCUGUUCGCCAUUUAAAGUGGUACGCGAGCUGGGUUUAGAACGUCGUGAGACAGUUCGGUCCCUAUCUGCCGUGGGCGCUGGAGAACUGAGGGGGGCUGCUCCUAGUACGAGAGGACCGGAGUGGACGCAUCACUGGUGUUCGGGUUGUCAUGCCAAUGGCACUGCCCGGUAGCUAAAUGCGGAAGAGAUAAGUGCUGAAAGCAUCUAAGCACGAAACUUGCCCCGAGAUGAGUUCUCCCUGACUCCUUGAGAGUCCUGAAGGAACGUUGAAGACGACGACGUUGAUAGGCCGGGUGUGUAAGCGCAGCGAUGCGUUGAGCUAACCGGUACUAAUGAACCGUGAGGCUUAACCUU
Molecule: ribosomal RNA, 2904 nt
Filed under: Escherichia coli
Lineage: Bacteria; Pseudomonadati; Pseudomonadota; Gammaproteobacteria; Enterobacterales; Enterobacteriaceae
Description: 23S ribosomal RNA
Rfam family: Bacterial large subunit ribosomal RNA
Source: RNAcentral